GGCCUUGAUAUAAUGUAGGAACUAAAUAUGAUGGACUAUGGGAGAGUCUUGGUGGGGUUUACAGAAUAGAUAAAUAUAAUAACCCAAUCAUGUUGUGAAGAGAUAAUGAUAGAGAAAUAUGAGCAACGAAAGUAAGGAAUAGAGAAUAAAGGAGUGUAAAACUAUAAAAAUAGAGCCCCUCACCCAAUGGGUUGUCCAUGUAAUCGCAUGAUCACAGAUGUUUUACCAAUAUAAUUAUAUAAUCAUUAUUUUUUUUUUAAACAAGAUAAUUAAAUAAUCAAUAUUCAAUUAUAAAUGAUCAUAUAUUUAAAACUACAAUGCUAGAUUAUCACAUAAUCAAAAAUUCGUGAAAUGUUUAGUUUUGUUAUUGCUUGAGCCCCCUGAGGGUUCACUGAUAAUAAUUAGUUAGAAAUAUAGCCUAUGGAGGAAUAUUCGGAACCUUAAUUAUGGUUCAAUCGGAACAUACAUGAUUGAUUCUCCUUGUCUGUGUUAGCUUCCUGCAGUUAAGAGCACCUCCAUAUGGAGCAUUUAAGAUAUCUAAAACUUCAAUGGCAAUAAAGAACUUUACAUAGAUCGCUAACUCACUUAUAUGCUAUAUGGUAAUAUAUAGUUGAUAAUCUAUAUAGAAGAAAACAGAAAUAGAUUCCCAUACGUAUAAUUCUUAAAGAAUAAUAAUGAUUCAAAACAUGGACACAUGUACCUUAGUCUUUCAAAAAAUCAUUAAAUUUAAUUAAUCUAGAAAUAAUUAAUGAGGCAUUGCGCAAUGUUCAACUAGUAAUCAAAGAGUGUAACUCUCCCACGAGACGCAUUGAGAGAUUAAAUAAUCUUAUAUAAA
This 835-nucleotide long non-coding RNA is filed under the name Mytilus galloprovincialis (Mediterranean mussel). The record is from RNAcentral. Lineage: Eukaryota; Metazoa; Mollusca; Bivalvia; Mytilida; Mytilidae.